This 1936-nucleotide ribosomal RNA is filed under the name marine metagenome. RNAcentral describes it as "bacterial LSU rRNA". It matches the Rfam family "Bacterial large subunit ribosomal RNA", at positions 500 to 2406 of the family's 2925-position model. The record is from RNAcentral.
ACCGUGAGGGAAAGGUGAAAAGAACCCCGGGAGGGGAGUGAAAUAGACCUGAAACCAUAUACCUACAAGCCGUGGAAGCCUUUUUUUAAAAGGGUGACCGCGUGCCUAUUGAAGAAUGAGCCUGCGAGUUAAUUUAAAUAGCAUGGUUAAAGGAUAAAAGUUCUGGAGCCAGAGCGAAAGCGAGUCUGAAUAGGGCGACUUUGUUGUUUGGAUUAGACCCGAAACCGGGUGAGCUACCCAUGGCCAGGUUGAAACCAAGAUAAUAUCUUGGUGAAGGACCGAACCCGUGUAAAGUGCAAAUUGCUGGGAUGAGCUGUGGGUAGAGGUAAAAUGCCAAUCGAACCCGGAGAUAGCUGGUUCUCUCCGAAAUGUAUUUAGGUACAGCGUUAAAUUAGUCUUAGGGAGGUAGAGCACUGGAUGGAUAAGGGGGCGUAAGCCUACCAAGUUCAACCAAACUCCGAAUGCCUUAAGAUGAUGUUUAGCAGUGAGACCGUGGGGGAUAAGCUCCAUUGUCAAAAGGGAAACAGCCCAGAUCACAAGCUAAGGUCCCUAAGUCUGAACUAAGUGGGAAAGGAAGUUAGAAUCCACAAACAGCCAGGAGGUUGGCUUAGAAGCAGCCAUCCUUUAAAGAAAGCGUAAUAGCUCACUGGUCGAGGUUUCUAGCGCCUAAAAUGUAACGGGGCUAAAGUUCAGCACCGAAGCUGUGAGUUUUCUAUUUUAAUAGAAAGCGGUAGGAGAGCGUUGUCAGUGCACUGAAGCUAAAAUGUGAGUUUUGGUGGAGCGCUGAGAAGUGAGAAUGCAGGCAUGAGUAGCGACAAUCGUGGUGAGAAUCCACGACACCGGAAGCCCAAGGUUUCCUACGCAAUGUUGAUCAUCGUAGGGUUAGUCGGGCCUAAGUGAAAGCGUAUAGCGAACACGAUGGAUAUCGGGUCAAAAUUCCCGAACCAUUUGUAUUGUGUUUUAACGCAAAGGGGGGACGCAAGAAGGUAAGUAGAGCAUACCUAUUGGACAUGGUGUGUUUGCUUUUGUAGAUGAUGACCAAAUAGGUAAAUCCGUUUGGUAUUUUAGUUGAGGAAAGCAAAAACUCGAGAGCUUAGCUCAAAGGAAUUCUGCUGACCCUAGGUUGCCAAGAAAAUCCUCGUUGUAAAUAAUAUAAAUGACCGUACCGCAAACCGACACAGGUAGGCAGGGAUAAAAGUCCCAAGGUGAACGAAAGAACCUUCGUUAAGGAACUCGACAGAUUGACCCCGUAACUUAGGGAGAAGGGGUGCCUAUUAUUUAAUACUGAUUUACUUAGUAAAGGGUAAUAGGCCGCAGUGAAUCGGUCCAAGCGACUGUUUAUCAAAAACAUAGGUCUAUGCUAAACCGAAAGGUGAUGUAUAUGGGCUGACGCCUGCCCAGUGCCGGAAGGUUAAGAGGAGAGGUUAGGAGUAAUCCAAAGCUUUGAAUUGAAGCCCCGGUGAACGGCGGCCGUAACUAUAACGGUCCUAAGGUAGCGAAAUCCCUUGUCAGGUAAGUUCUGACCCGCACGAAUGGCGUAACGACUUGGACAUUGUCUCAACGAAGGACUCGGUGAAAUUGCAGGACCAGUGAAGAUGCUGGUUACCUACGACAGGACAAAAAGACCCCGUGGAGCUUUACUGCAACUUGGCAGUGAUUUAGGCUUAUAAACGUGUAGGAUAGGCGGGAGACUUUGAAACUUUAGCGCUAGUUAGAGUGGAGUCGACCUUGAAAUACCGCCCUUUUAUAAUCUUGGAUCUAACUUUAUUUAUAUGAAGGACCCUGCCUGGUGGGCAGUUUGACUGGGGCGGUCGCCUCCCAAACAAUAACGGAGGCGCCCAAAGGUUCCCUCAAGGUGGAUUGGAAAUCACCUUUCGAGUGUAUUGGCAUAAGGGAGCUUGACUGCGAGACCUACAAGUCGAGCAGGGACGAAAGU